GAUGAAGAACGUAGCGAAAUGCGAUAAGUAAUGUGAAUUGCAGAAUUCAGUGAAUCAUCGAAUCUUUGAACGCACAUUGCGCCCGCCAGUAUUCUGGCGGGCAUGCCUGUUCGAGCGUCAUUUCAACCAUCAAGCCCCCGGCUUGUGUUGGGGACCUGCGGCUGCCGCAGGCCCUGAAAUGCUGUGGCGGGCUCGCUGUCACUCCGAGCGUAGUAGUUACAUCUCGCUCUGGGCGUGCUGCGGGUUCCGGCCGUUAAAAGCCUUAUUUACCCAAGGUUGACCUCGGAUCAGGUAGGAAGACCCGCUGAACUUAAGCAUAUCAAUAAGCGGAGGA
RNAcentral lists this unclassified non-coding RNA (334 nucleotides) under soil metagenome. Its description in RNAcentral is "partial contains 5.8S ribosomal RNA, internal transcribed spacer 2, and large subunit ribosomal RNA". The stretch from base 1 to 120 matches the Rfam family "5.8S ribosomal RNA", at positions 35 to 154 of the family's 154-position model. The record is from RNAcentral.